RNAcentral lists this long non-coding RNA (1360 nucleotides) under Homo sapiens (human). RNAcentral's name for it is "long intergenic non-protein coding RNA 1446". Lineage: Eukaryota; Metazoa; Chordata; Mammalia; Primates; Hominidae. The record is from RNAcentral.
GGAACCCGGCCGACAGAAGAUGGCGGAUGAGCAGCGUGCAGGGUUUUCUCCCUGUGGCUCACUCUCUCUUACUGUGCUGGGCGGUUGCUUCCUCUCCUGCUGCCCUUGGGAGUCAGACUCCAGGUUCUUCAGCCUGUGGCCCCUGGGGCUCUCGGGCCUUGGAGGACUGACUAGGAGCACACGGUGGGCCUCUCUGGUUUGGGGGCCUGGGACGUGGCGGAGCCCUGCAGCUUCUGUGCGGCCUGUUCUGGGCGUCGCGUUGAAACGCCAGCCAGUUCCCCAAAAAGAGCAUACGGGAGAGAUGAAGCAGUCCACUCCAAGAACAUUCUCAUCCUACGGAUUACGAGUCCCCCUGGGAUUACAGGAGUGUUGAAGAAAUGUUGUGACACAUCAGAACACCGCGAAAUACAUGGACACUUUCAAAUCAUGGAAGACUCAAGGGUCAGGAGGGCAUCUUUCUCGGCUCUUCACUGUGAGAACCUUGUGGGAUUCCUGAAGAUGAAACCAUGAACGCGAGGGAGUCUUGCUAAAACUGCAGCAUUCGAGAGGUUUUCACUCAUGCUGGCUCACACUUGUCCUCUAGCAAUUCAUCAAAAUUACCACGUAAGUGUUUCAACAGUUUAUGGCUCAGGUGGCCUCAGCUGUGAUGCUCCAAAUUUGCCUGUUUCUCCAGAUGCAGGGUAGCAGUUUGCUGUUUCUCCUGAGUUCUUUGAUGGAUUCAAGAAAAGUCAUGAUUUUCAGUUUGUUCUGAUUUUUUCUUGUGAGGGCAAAGUAAUGACUAAGCUUUAAUGUGUUUCAGCUAAAACUACAUGUAUUUUAAUAGCAAAAUGAGAUAUAAUUCACAUGUCAUAAAAGUCACCAUUUUUGGGUGCACAACUCAUUGGAUUUUAGUAUAUUCCAGGGUUAUGCAAGAAUAAAUAUUCUCUAAUUUUGGAACAUAUUUAUCUACUCAGAAAGAAACUUUGUGCUCAUUAACAGUUACUUAAUAUUCUCUCUCCCCUAACCUAUGGUAACUACUAGUCGACUUGCUAUAGAUUAGGUUACUUUGGAUAUUUCAUAUAUGUUGAAUCAUAAAAUAUGUGCCUUGGCUUCUUUCACUUACCGUAAUAUUUACAAAAUUCAUUCAUCUUACAAAGUACUUCAUUCUAUUUUUGAUUUUAUGGGUUAAUAAUAUUCUACUGUCUGGCUAUAUACAUGUAUGAAUAAUGUGGCAACAUUUUGUCCAUACACUCAUCAUGUGAUUAGUAUUUGCUUUGUUGUUGUUGUGUGUUUUUUAUUUUUCAGUUAUUAUGAAUAAUGAUUAUGAAUUCAGUUAUUAUGAAUAACUACAAUAAAUAGUUAUGCAUAAGUUUUUGUGAGG